RNAcentral lists this ribosomal RNA (465 nucleotides) under Vreelandella stevensii. RNAcentral describes it as "partial 16S ribosomal RNA". It matches the Rfam family "Bacterial small subunit ribosomal RNA", at positions 338 to 795 of the family's 1533-position model. The record is from RNAcentral. Lineage: Bacteria; Pseudomonadati; Pseudomonadota; Gammaproteobacteria; Oceanospirillales; Halomonadaceae.
CCUACGGGUGGCAGCAGUGGGGAAUAUUGGACAAUGGGCGAAAGCCUGAUCCAGCCAUGCCGCGUGUGUGAAGAAGGCCUUCGGGUUGUAAAGCACUUUCAGUGGGGAAGAAAGCCUUGGGGCUAAUACCCUCGAGGAAGGACAUCACCCACAGAAGAAGCACCGGCUAACUCCGUGCCAGCAGCCGCGUUAAUACGGAGGGUGCGAGCGUUAAUCGGAAUUACUGGGCGUAAAGCGCGCGUAGGCGGUCUGAUAAGCCGGUUGUGAAAGCCCCGGGCUCAACCUGGGAACGGCAUCCGGAACUGGCAGGCUAGAGUGCAGGAGAGGAAGGUAGAAUUCCCGGUGUAGCGGUGAAAUGCGUAGAGAUCGGGAGGAAUACCAGUGGCGAAGGCGGCCUUCUGGACUGACACUGACGCUGAGGUGCGAAAGCGUGGGUAGCAAACAGGAUUAGAUACCCUAGUAGUC